This 30-nucleotide non-coding RNA is filed under the name Homo sapiens (human). Lineage: Eukaryota; Metazoa; Chordata; Mammalia; Primates; Hominidae. The record is from RNAcentral.
UCCAGACAACUGUGAAGGGAGUUCCCAGAA